This 229-nucleotide long non-coding RNA is filed under the name Elaeis guineensis (African oil palm). RNAcentral's name for it is "long non-coding RNA (EGUI_LNC061861)". The record is from RNAcentral. Lineage: Eukaryota; Viridiplantae; Streptophyta; Magnoliopsida; Arecales; Arecaceae.
GAUCACCCUUGAAUCUUUCUUCUCAUUGUAGAUUCUUUUUCUCCAACUAGAAUCUCAGCCUCUUUGAAUCUUGAUCAACUCUUUGAUCUUAACUACAAUCUCAACUAUUGAACUACAGCCUUUUCUCCUUGACCCUUGCUAUAGAAGAAACUACCCUUGACUCGGCUUGUGAGAGGAUGAGAUGCCCAACUCUCAGGUGUUGGAAAGAAAGAAGAGAGACGGUGGGGCA